This 1611-nucleotide long non-coding RNA is filed under the name Nicotiana tabacum (common tobacco). RNAcentral's name for it is "long non-coding RNA (NTAB_LNC002324)". The record is from RNAcentral. Lineage: Eukaryota; Viridiplantae; Streptophyta; Magnoliopsida; Solanales; Solanaceae.
CCCAAGAUCAUAUAACGAGAGAACAACUCAUUCCCUUUAACCGAUGUGGAACAUUCUAACAUUAGCAAUGCUAGAAAACAAUGUGGUAGUACCAUAUCCUGCCGCUUUACAUUUACAUGCUUCAGGACUAAAAGAAACUUAUCAUUAAGAUUUAGGUUGACAAAAACCAAGUUCUUCAUCAGGGCUCAAGGGAAGAAGAGAAAAAUGAAGAUAACAGAGGUAGGUGAGAGGGAGACAGAGAGGAUGAGAGAGAGAAGACAAGUUAACUUCGACCCUUGCAAGACUAACAGCACAAUAGGACCUCCAGUUACCUUCAUCAUAUCAUGAUGCCCUAUAUUACAAGUACUACGAGGUCAAACCUGUACCUACACUUGGUUGUCUGAAUGAGUUGCUCCAUAUUUUUAUUAUGGGGUUAAAAAUUAAAAUCCGCACAAAAGACUAAUUUACUUAGCUCAUUGCACUUGACUUAUCAUUAAUGUCAAAUAGCUAACACACGCAUCCGAGGCAGCAAAAGAGUCAUCUCCAAUCAAAAGUGAUGUAGCCUUGUGGCAGCACGUUGUCAUACCUGCUGCCUUCAGCUCAAGCUCGCACCUACUUUUUUCAGCUCAAACUGUAUAUGCAGUUGAAAUUUUGUUUAGAAAUACAAAUAAGUUCCCACCACCACCAUCAACAACUUAGCCUCAAUCCCAAACGAGUUGUAUACUUACCGGCAAUGAUUCUUCAUUUAAAUUCAUCUCACACCUACACUAAAAUAGUGUACGGGAUGGUCUAAAAUCACGGGUCUGCUUCUACCUAAUUAUAGAUGCGGGUUUUCCUUCUUCUGAAGUUUUAUUCCAAACAAUAAGAUUAUCAAAUGAAGCCAACGACAUCAGGUAUGGUGCAAAUGUGUCGUAACAGAACUACUCCAGGAAUCUAAAAGACGAAAGACAGAGUUAAGAGACAGCAGAUAAUAGUUCCAUACGAAACACGAAGUAAUAAACUUUACUGAAAAUUUAUAGAAACAAGUAAAGUUGCAUAAAAUAAAAUAACAAAAGGGGUAAAAGAUAAGAAUGAGAUGACGAAAUUAACAUGAGGACACAACUAACUGCUACAAGAAACAAAGCCAAAGAGAAGAGGCUCCGGCAUACCAGCCAACGGUGCACUAUAAUUUCACGAGAACCAAAUAUUAGCCGGAAAAUGGGAGCUGAAAAAGAAAUGCAAAGAAAAACCGAAUUACCAAGAUGAAAUGUCAAAACCUAGCUAUACAUGAUGAAAGGAGCUAACUUGAGCAUUUUAACAAGCAAAGUUUCACAAAUUUGGUAAAAUCAUAGCUCAAAACCGAGUUUUGAUGAAUAAGUAAGACUUGAUCUGAAGGAAGUUGAGUGAAAGAGCAAACUUGAAAGUGGACUUACUGGAUUGGUGGUGACAGGUGGAGAAAAAUGAUAGGUCGGCGGCAAAUUUCGCCGGAGAAUCAGACCAUCUUGGAACAAGGGUUUCUUUGUCGGGAUGCCGCAAAGAGAGAAAAGAGGAAAGUGUCUGUUGGAAUGUUGACUGCUAUUUUAUGACAGCUUCUCGACACAAACCACUACACGCGCGCGCGCGCACACGUAUAUGUUCUCUCUCCUUUUUCUU